RNAcentral lists this unclassified non-coding RNA (239 nucleotides) under uncultured fungus. RNAcentral's name for it is "sequence contains ITS1". Lineage: Eukaryota; Fungi. The record is from RNAcentral.
GUAUUGAUUGCGGGUUAGCGCAUAAAUGAGGUCAUUCUACACUUUUUAAAAGGGGUGUUUGUGUGAAAACGCGAGCCUCCUCCGAGAUGAUCCCAAAGGGUGCCCACGCGGUGAUGCACAAAGGGGUGAGAUGGAUUUUGUGCGAGAGCGCUCGGGCGUGCACGACCUUUGAAGGUCAGCGACAGCCCUCGCACCUCGGUUGUACGAUAAUGAUCCUUCCGCAGGUUCACCUACGGAAA